This 722-nucleotide ribosomal RNA is filed under the name uncultured bacterium. RNAcentral's name for it is "bacterial SSU rRNA". It matches the Rfam family "Bacterial small subunit ribosomal RNA", at positions 97 to 835 of the family's 1533-position model. The record is from RNAcentral.
GGCGAAGGUGAGUAACGCGUUGGUGACCUGCCCCGAAGAGGGGGAUAACAGCUUGAAAGGGCUGCUAAUACCCCAUGUGAUCUAACAGGUUAGAGGCUGAUAGAUAAAAGACUUCGGUCGCUUCGGGAGGGGCCUGCGUCCCAUCAGCUAGUUGGUAGGGUAAAAGCCUACCAAGGCAAAGACGGGUAGGGGACCUGAGAGGGUGACCCCCCACAAUGGAACUGAAACACGGUCCAUACACCUACGGGUGGCAGCAGUAGGGAAUCUUGCACAAUGGGCGAAAGCCUGAUGCAGCAACGCCGCGUGCGCGAUGAAGGCCUUCGGGUUGUAAAGCGCUUUUCGGGGAGAUGAGAAAGGACAGUAUCCCCGGAAUAAGGUUCGGCUAACUACGUGCCAGCAGCCGCGGUAAAACGUAGGAAUCGAGCGUUAUCCGAAUUUACUGGGCGUAAAGCGCGUGUAGGCGGUUUGGUAAGUUGGAUGUGAAAGCUCCCGGCUCAACUGGGAGAGGACGUUCAAUACUGUCAGACUAGAGGACGGCAGAGGGAGGUGGAAUUCCCGGUGUAGUGGUGAAAUGCGUAGAUAUCGGGAGGAACACCAGUGGCGAAGGCGGCCUCCUGGGCCGUGCCUGACGCUGAGACGCGAAAAGCUAGGGUAGCAAACGGGAUUAGAAACCCCGGUAGUCCUAGCUGUAAACGAUGUAGACUUGGUGUUGGUGGUGUAAA